AUGUUCUCUUUCUGGAGAUUUCUUUUUGGUGAAGUUUUCUCCUGUGAGCUUUCUUAUGUGGAUUGAAUUGUUCCAGCCUUUCUUCAUAUGUGAGAUGUUCCAAUUCCUAUUCUAGAAUGGAGAUUAAAAGAAGUUUGAUGACAUGAUCAAUAGGUAACUGUUUCAUCAUUAUACUUACUGUUUAAAAUACAUCUAAACAUGCUGCCUUGUGGGACAGUUCUGUGUUUGACAGGAGUCUGCCUUUAGAGGAUAUUAACCUUAAUGCAAAUCUGAUUAAAAGAGGUGAUGACGAAACCUGUAGGAAUCUGUCUUGGAGAAGUCACAAUGCCAUCUCCUUCGGUGAAAGGUUCACACCCGCAUUCGAACAAUUUAUCUUUGACCUAUGAGAUCUGCAAUCAAUCAGAAUCCUGAGCACUGGUGACUAAUAAUUCUUGGGAAUUUCUGUGGGUGGGGAGACUUUUCUCACCCUGAAGUAAUGUGCUGGCAUUAGUUAGUCUUGUCUUUGUUGCAUCAUCUGACAUAUAAUGAGAUAAUAAAAAUGAGCAAGUACCCUCAA
Molecule: non-coding RNA, 556 nt
Organism: Meleagris gallopavo (turkey)
Lineage: Eukaryota; Metazoa; Chordata; Aves; Galliformes; Phasianidae
Source: RefSeq, a predicted model, not a curated record